UUACUUUAUUUAUUUAUAUAUUCUGUUCCCUAGUGUGUGCUGCGGAGUGACGUUGUCCGUCAAAGAAGCCCUGAAGGACCCCAUGACGUUGAAUAGGAUAUUAAUGAGCCCAGGGACAUUCAAGUUCGACAAACCAGUGACAGUCGUCAUAACAGGGGAACACUGGCCGACCCACAUCAUACUCAAUGAACGCAACGAGGUCAGCGGUUCCAUGGGAAGUUUACUGAACGCGCUUUCCAGGAAUCUGAAUUUCUCGUACAAGAUAGUUCGACCCGAGGACGGCUUUUGGGGUUCCAUCAAUGAGGACGGGUCCUGGUCGGGCAUGGUCGGGAUGGUUCAUCGCCACGAGGCGGAUAUGGCCCUAGGUCCACAUGACAUCACGCUCAUUAGAACGACGGCCAUCGACUACACUUCCCCGAUAUUCACCGACGCCAGGCAGUUCAUUUUAGCCCAGAAUCGAGCCGAGGUCGAUCCCUGGGGGUUCAUGCUCCCCCUCACACCCACCGUCUGGAUAGGGGCCGUCAUAGCCCUCUUGGUCAUUAGCAUGGUGACUGUCGCCAUCGGACGAAAUCACCAAGGAGACCCAACGCCCGUCUUCGCUAUGGCGGUCUUCUUCCACACCUACAGGA
Macrobrachium nipponense is the source of this 629-nucleotide long non-coding RNA. RefSeq lists it as uncharacterized. The transcript has 4 exons. The record is from RefSeq and is a predicted model, not a curated record. Lineage: Eukaryota; Metazoa; Arthropoda; Malacostraca; Decapoda; Palaemonidae.